ACGCUGAAGUCGCGCGUGGGAGUGUGAAAUAGCUGGUACUCAGAAAAAUCCUGAGGGGCAAGCUGUACGAGACAAGGGAGCGCCUUGGCCGGUUCGAGUUUAAGCGUGAAGUCAUGCUAGAACAACUACUGAGCUGUAAAUUAAAGGGAAGAUAAUUUCUACUCGUGGAGGAAAAGAAACGCGAAUAACCUCAAUGGAAGACUCUCAGGAUCUAAGUGAACAGUCAGUAAAGAAGCCGUGUACAGAGUCAGAUGGUUCAGAGACGCAGAAUCCCAGGUCUAUGGAAAUGCAGGAUCUAGCCAGUCCUCAUAAUCUUGUUGGAAGUAGUGAUGCACCAGGUAGUUCCAAACUGGAUAAGACUAGUCUUAGUAGCACAUCAGUUACAACAAAUGGAACAGGAGGAGACAACAUGACUGUGUUAAAUACUGCAGACUGGUUGCUGAGUUGUAGUACUCCCUCCUCUGCCACAAUGUCUCUUCUUGCAGUCAAAACAGAACCCAUGAACAACAGUGAAACAGCAACAACAACUGGAGAUGGAUCGCUUGACACUUUUACUGGGUCAGUAAUAACAAGUAGUGGCUACAGUCCAAGAUCGGCGCACCAGUACUCUCCGCAAAUAUAUCCCUCCAAGCCCUAUCCACACAUUCUUUCUACACCAGCAGCUCAAACAAUGUCUGCCUAUGCCGGACAAACCCAGUAUUCAGGAAUGCAGCAACCAGCGGUCUAUACAGCCUACUCACAGACAGGACAGCCCUACAGCUUACCCACUUACGAUUUGGGUGUAAUGUUGCCAGGCAUCAAGACAGAAAGUGGGCUCUCGCAGACCCAAUCACCACUGCAGAGCGGGUGCCUCAGUUACAGCCCGGGGUUUUCGACCCCACAGCCAGGCCAAACACCUUACUCUUAUCAGAUGCCAGGUUCUAGUUUUACACCGUCGUCCACUAUUUACUCAAACAAUUCUGUUUCGAAUUCCACAAACUUCAGUAGUUCACAACAGGAUUAUCCAUCAUACACAGCUUUUGGCCAAAAUCAAUAUGCACAGUAUUACUCAGCAUCAACAUAUGGUACAUAUAUGACCUCAAACAACACGGCUGAUGGCACUUCAUCAUCAUCAUCAACCUACCAGUUACAAGACUCUCUCCCUGGCUUGACUAGUCAACCAGGUACAGAUCUACAUUCAGGGGAGUUUGACACAGUGCAGAGCCCCUCCACGCCAAUUAAAGAUCUUGAUGAGAGAACAUGUAGGAGUUCUGGGUCGAAGUCUAGGGGUAGAGGACGGAAGAAUAAUCCAUCACCCCCUCCGGACAGUGACUUGGAGCGUGUAUUUGUUUGGGAUUUGGAUGAAACAAUCAUAGUUUUUCAUUCACUGCUUACAGGAUCCUAUGCACAAAAGUAUGGCAAGGAUCCACCAAUGGCAGUGACGCUUGGACUGAGAAUGGAAGAAAUGAUUUUUAAUCUUGCUGACACACAUUUAUUUUUUAAUGAUUUAGAGGAGUGUGAUCAAGUUCAUAUAGAUGAUGUUUCUUCUGAUGAUAAUGGACAAGACCUAAGUACCUACAGUUUUGCAACUGAUGGCUUCCAUGCAGCUGCAAGUAGUGCAAACCUUUGUCUGCCAACAGGUGUAAGAGGAGGGGUUGACUGGAUGAGGAAGCUGGCUUUCCGUUACAGAAGAGUAAAAGAGUUGUAUAAUACUUACAAGAACAACAUAGGAGGACUUCUGGGUCCCGCUAAAAGAGAUGCAUGGUUGCAAUUAAGAGCAGAGAUUGAAGCUUUGACAGACUCCUGGCUAACAAAUGCACUUAAAUCAUUAUCAAUUAUCAGCACAAGGAGUAAUUGUGUAAACGUGUUGGUAACAACGACCCAGCUUAUCCCAGCACUUGCGAAAGUUCUGCUAUACAGUUUAGGAGGAGCUUUUCCUAUUGAAAAUAUUUACAGUGCAACCAAAAUAGGCAAAGAGAGCUGUUUUGAGCGUAUAGUGUCCAGAUUUGGCACUAACAUAACUUAUGUUGUGAUUGGAGAUGGCCGAGAUGAGGAACAUGCAGCUAAUCAGGUAACUUCACUCUGAACUCUUAUCUCAUUUAUCUUCCAGGAAAAGAAAGUUGCUUUGAACGAAUAAUGCAAAGGUUUGGCAGAAAAGUAGUAUAUGUUGUAAUUGGGGAUGGUGUAGAAGAAGAACAGGCAGCAAAAAAGCACAACAUGCCUUUCUGGAGGAUAUCCAGUCAUUCGGACCUCUUGGCUCUCCAUCAAGCACUGGAACUAGAGUAUUUGUAACUGUGUUCUAAAGUUGGCGAUCCUUUUUUUUAUAUAUAUAUUUCAAGUACACUGAAUUUUUAUGUGUGAUUCAAUGCCUCUGGCUUUACACAUAUGAAUUGUCUUAAGAAGGGAAGAAAUAUUUGGAAUUAAAAAUUCCAAAUUGAAGAAUUCAGAUUGCUGAAUGAAGUUAAAACAUUAGUGCUACAUAAGGAAGCUCUAUGGUCUUAUAUAUACAACAUUUUUAAAUGAAUUAAAACUGUGGAGGUUGCUGGUACACACCAAGUGAGCCCUGACAGGAGUGAACAAAGGACUCAAACUGGCAAAGCACCAAAAUGCGUUUUCCAGCCAACAAGGUGGUGUUCAACAACAUUCCUCAAAAUGGGAUAUAUUCUCAGCACUGAGGUUUGAACCAGACUUUAGCCUACCUAACCCAGAAAAUCUGAAUUGGAAUGCACUCAGACUGUAUAAUGACAAUCCUGUCUAGACCUGUAAUUUGUGUAAAUUAUUGAUGAAAAUAAUUUACUGUGACUUUGUUAGCAGCUGAUUUUGGAAGUGGAUGCAAUUUUUCUUUCUUUUGGGGGUGCAGGGGAGGGAAAGGGUUAUAUAAUAUUGUCUCUUUUAUAAGUUUGGCAAACAGAAUGUCAUAAUGAUGUGUUGUGCCUUAAAGAGAAGAUUGUGUUCGUGUGUUAUAAUGUAAUUUUGGUUAAAAACUCUGUAGAUAAACAAAGAAAAACCUUUGUGGUAAUUUUUGACAUGACCAAAUUUGAAAUUCAAAGAAAUCAAAGAGCAGAGCUGCACCAAAGCAUUUAAGUAUUUGCUGCAGUAAGAAAAAAAUAAUAAAGGAAAGUUUGUGUUUUUAUUUGGAUUCUGAAUAAUUCCACUGAUUGUUUGAGAAAAGUUAAGAGUACGUUGGGAAGUUAAUAUUGGGGACCGCUACGUUGAAAGGUUAAAAAAAAGUGUUUAACACCUUCGGCAUCAUUUCUUGAUUCUCCAACAAGAGAACUAAGAGCCAUAUUCAUUAAUUACCAAGUCCACUGAAAGCCAUACAGUGAGUGCAUCUGCUGUGUAUAAAAUAACAAAGUUCCACCCAGCAGACAAAGUGUUCAGGUGGCAUUACUGGAAGGUGAAAAUGUGGAGUUAAGCCCAGAUGGGGAAUAAAACACAAUUCCAUUAGGAAUGAAAAAUUCCUAAAGAAACUCAAGUCAGUCAGAUGUGCAAAUGAUGCUCCAUUUAGCAUAUUCAGGAUCAACACAAGCUGCUGAAAUUACUGGCAUAAUGACAUUGGCCAUUUCAAGAGUAUAGUCCACUUUGGUACAUAAAGUAGCAUUUUGGUAGUUUUUCAAUUGUGUUCCACAUUUCCAUGUAUUUUGUUUUGGGUCAGCAUGAUUUUCCUCACCCGUUUUUGAUUGCACAAAAUACUACACAGGGACAACCAUAAAUGUUUUGGAACCAGAAAUUUCAAUAGUAUGUCAGGUAUCUGAGGAGAAGAUAAAGAGAUGGUUUUUAUAAAGAAAUAUUGAGAAAUAUAUCACCUUAACUUUCCUAAUUUCUGUUAAAAGUUACGGUCCAUACAGUAAUGAUUAUCUUGCGAGUUUGAACAUGCUAUUUUUCAUCUUUGGAAAAUGAGCAACGUCCAUAUUGUACACGAGGUCCUUAGUGCUCUACGUGCAGCUUGAGCACUCUGAAACAACAGCAGGUGGUUUGUCUCUCAUUGCAGAAAAUGGAAACUACUUUUUUCAGUUUUUAAGACUGUAUAUGGAGACAUCUGAGGUUGUCUGUGCACUGAACUGCAUGAAGAGGUGUAUGCAAGAGAAGGUGUUAAAUGCAAACUCUGGGAUGCCUGCACAAGCACAGUAGUUGGCACUGAGGUGAAAAUCUUCCCUCGCUGUGCUGUGAAGCCAACAUAUGUCAUAGUUACCAGGUAGUGACUUUGCUGAUUUAAACUCUGUUGAGGUUACAUUACAGUUAGUUGGUUGGUGAAAGCCUGGAGCCACUAAAAGUACAAGGCAGAAUUCUUCUAUAAAUUCAUAAAAAUGGGAUUUCUUCUCUGUGUUGGAGUUGGAUAUGCAAGUCACCACACAACAAACUAACAAUAAUUUGUUAUCACUGGGCAGUUUAAAGCCAUCACAUGAGCCUUGCCACAUACAAAAUCACUACAGACUAGCUAUUUGGAUGAUAGAUUUAUGUGUCCAAAAAGUAAAAAUUAUGCAUACCUUCUUUAUAUUUUCAGUACUUGUCUAGUCAGAUUUGUGCUGGAAGUACCUUUUUCAUAAAAAGCUGUAGUUAACAGCUUUUUGUAGUGUUUCAGGUGGGAAAAGGUGUUUCUACUGGAAUAGGAAAAAACUUCAAAGCCUUUCUCAAGUUCUAGCAUUGCAUAAAAAUCUCAAUGCAAAAGCAUGAUAAGCCAAAAAAUUGGUAUGGUGAACUAGCUUUUUUUUUCUUUUUCUUUUUUUUGACAAGUCACAGUGUUUUUUAAAUGCAUGAAGCAAUAUUAUUUCUCAAAUUACUUGCUCAGUGUUCUUUUCCUAAUCAGAUGUAAGAACAAAAAGUGGCCCAGCAACAACCGUUGGUUCUUACAAAAGGUUUGCAGUGCCUUCAUUGGAGUUGUGCUUAGCUUUUUGUGGUGGAUGCGGCUCAAUUUAUAUUCUGGACUUCUAGAGAGGAGAUGGAGGGAAAAGGAGGAAAGUUUUACAGAGCAUGACAAAGUUCGGUGUGCUACCAUAGCAGAAGUUAAUUAUAAAAAUAAGUAAUCCACAAAAAUGUGAAUCCAAAGACAAUUCAAGGAUUUAGCUCGAAAGCCGUCGCAAUACAAAAUUUCAGAGCAUGAAUACUCUCUUGCUAAGCAAAAAUUGCUAUAUAUCUUUAAAUAAAAGUGUGUAGAACAUUCCUUGUAGGGAGAAAUUAGUCUGAUACAUUUUCCUGCAUGAACAAUACAGGGGAGAAAAUAACCAAGGCAGAGACAUCAGGCUGUUCCAAGUGGGCCUAAGAAGAUUAAACGGAAGGUUGGUCACUUUGACACUGGGUGCAUUUUAAUUCAAAAGCAUAUUAAUCAGAAACUACCUUCCCUUCAGCCUCUCCUCAACAACCAAGAUUGAGCAAAGGUCAUGUUUGCAAGUAUUUUUGGCAAAUGAAGUAUAGAAUAUAACGCCUUUUGCUGAUACUCUAGCGGUUCUCAGUACAGAACAUGAACGUUCAUUAGGCAUUUGAGUAGUCAGCUUGCAGAAUACAAAAAUUGUGUGAUUGCAGUCACAAGCUGGUAUCUUAAAAAGAUAUAAAACCGUGCAGUUCAGUAAAAUAGAACAGAAAAAAAUAAAAAAUAGGCUUAUUUUUAGAUGCCUGUGGAGAUUGUGCACAAAGAUCUAGGUGGCAGCUAGCUCCCAGAUCUGUUUUCAUUAGAAUCCAGUGUGAGCAGCAGUGUUUGCAUCUAAAGCAGUGUGGAGUGUGUUCCGGUGCAAGCAUUGACAAGGGAGAUGAGGCCAAAUCAAAGUCCUCUAUACAAGCACACUUCAUCUUGGGGUGAAUGAGGUCCUGUAUUCUAUCAGAAUUGCAGAGUUUAUGGAGAAUAUAGACUUGACCCAGGAUAGGGAGACUAGGUUUUAGCUAUGAGGUUGUACCCAGAUCCAGGGUUUCAGUUCAAAAGUCAUCUCUGCUUGAAAGGAUUGACAGCAGGCAUAUGCUGUAAAUGAAUAUGGUAUUUAGUAUCUCUGAAGAGAAGCUGAAGUGACAGAAGCCAAAAUCCCAGCAAUAGCAGCAUUUUGAAUAUUUGAAGCCAAGGGUCUCUGUCAUGUAUUAGCAGAUUAUAGUUUAUUAGGGCCUACCUAAUUUAAGAAAAUGUAAAUUAAAAUUAAAAGCUUGUAAAAUUAUGUACAUCUUUACUAUUUCUCAAUAAAUACACUCGGAAAUGUCUUUUUUCUGUACUAUAUGGUGUUGUAAGUUGUUCGGUCUGUGGUUGUUGUGUCUCCAUACACAAUGUCUCUUACGGGUACUGACUGUGACCUUGGACUCUUAUGUCCGUGCUGCCCUUGUGGUUCAUGCCUGGAGCAACCCUGAGCCUGUGCAUGUGGUCUGGUACAGACUGGCUCACCUGCAGACUGUUUGCAGGGUACAGCCUUAGAGAGAAUCUACCCCUGCUCUGCACUGAGGCUUCCUCACCAAGAACAUUAGGUGCCUUGCUUCAGAUGCAGCCUGAGUGACAACUAGCACCUUUGUUGCAGUGUCCUUGGGACAAAAUACAGAACAAACGCAAAUUUGAUGGUCUAGAUACACAGUGUAUGCAUAUAAAUUCCCUUGCCAAUUCACUAAUUAAUAUUAUGCUAGUAUUCUUAUGGACAUGGGUUGUUAGGAGACAGACUGGGCUACUGAGGGGCAAGCAGCCUUUCCGGUUGAAGAUUGUCCUCGUGAAACUUUGUAAAUGUCUUUGGGAGCUGUACUUCAUGUCUUAGUGAGGUACUGACCUUCGUUUGAAGAAAGCAGUCCCUCCACAGUCUGCUGUGGGAGGCCAGAGUGGGAUUGCAGGACUGUCAGCACACUUAGACAUGACAUUAUGAUCUUGGAACAACAUAACAAGUAGCAGAGCC
Molecule: RNA transcript, 6830 nt
Organism: Chiroxiphia lanceolata (lance-tailed manakin)
Lineage: Eukaryota; Metazoa; Chordata; Aves; Passeriformes; Pipridae
Gene: EYA4
Gene name: EYA transcriptional coactivator and phosphatase 4
Exons: 20
Source: RefSeq, a predicted model, not a curated record